GUGCACUCUUCUAUAGGCAGGCCAGCAUCAGUUUGGGCGGUUGGAUAAAGGUCUCUGUCAUGUACCUCUCUUCGGGGAGAACUUAUAGGGGAGACGACAUGCAACCAGCCUGGACUGAGGUCCGCGCAUCUGCUAGGAUGCUGGCGUAAUGGCUGUAAGCGGCCCGUCUUGAAACACGG
Molecule: ribosomal RNA, 179 nt
Filed under: uncultured fungus
Lineage: Eukaryota; Fungi
Description: partial 28S ribosomal RNA
Source: RNAcentral